UUGAACGCUGGCGGCAUGCCUUACACAUGCAAGUCGAACGGUAACGCGGGGCAACCUGGCGACGAGUGGCGAACGGGUGAGUAAUGCAUCGGAACGUGCCCAGUAGUGGGGGAUAGCCCGGCGAAAGCCGGAUUAAUACCGCAUACGACCUACGGGUGAAAGCGGGGGACUCGCAAGAGCCUCGCGCUAUUGGAGCGGCCGAUGUCAGAUUAGGUAGUUGGUGGGGUAAAGGCCUACCAAGCCGACGAUCUGUAGCUGGUCUGAGAGGACGACCAGCCACACUGGGACUGAGACACGGCCCAGACUCCUACGGGAGGCAGCAGUGGGGAAUUUUGGACAAUGGGCGAAAGCCUGAUCCAGCCAUGCCGCGUGCGGGAAGAAGGCCUUCGGGUUGUAAACCGCUUUUGUCAGGGAAGAAAUCCUUUGAGCUAAUACCUCAGAGGGAUGACGGUACCUGAAGAAUAAGCACCGGCUAACUACGU
This 482-nucleotide ribosomal RNA is filed under the name uncultured bacterium. RNAcentral describes it as "bacterial SSU rRNA". It matches the Rfam family "Bacterial small subunit ribosomal RNA", at positions 29 to 506 of the family's 1533-position model. The record is from RNAcentral.